Molecule: ribosomal RNA, 251 nt
Filed under: uncultured bacterium
Lineage: Bacteria
Description: partial 16S ribosomal RNA
Rfam family: Bacterial small subunit ribosomal RNA
Source: RNAcentral
UAUGAAGGGGGCUAGGCGUUGCUCGGAAUUACUGGGCGUAAAGGCGCGUAGGCGGCACUGUUAGUCAGGCGUGAAAUUCCUGGGCUCAACCUGGGGACUGCGCUUGAUACGGCAGAGCUAGAGGAUGGAAGAGGCUCGCGGAAUUCCCAGUGUAGAGGUGAAAUUCGUAGAUAUCGGAAGGAACACCAGUGGCGAAAGCGGCUUCCUGGUCCAGCACCGACGUCAGCACGAAAGCGUGGGGAGCAAACAGG